GGGCGAUUGGCUCAGUGGUGAGAGCGCCUGCUUCACACGCAGGAGGUCAGUGGUUCAAAUCCACUAUCGCCCACCA
This 76-nucleotide transfer RNA is filed under the name Chloroflexota bacterium. RNAcentral describes it as "Chloroflexi bacterium tRNA-Val". It matches the Rfam family "tRNA". Rfam says of the family: Transfer RNA (tRNA) molecules are approximately 80 nucleotides in length. Their secondary structure includes four short double-helical elements and three loops (D, anti-codon, and T loops). Further hydrogen bonds mediate the characteristic L-shaped molecular structure. tRNAs have two regions of fundamental functional importance: the anti-codon, which is responsible for specific mRNA codon recognition, and the 3' end, to which the tRNAs corresponding amino acid is attached (by aminoacyl-tRNA synthetases). tRNAs cope with the degeneracy of the genetic code in two manners: having more than one tRNA (with a specific anti-codon) for a particular amino acid; and 'wobble' base-pairing, i.e. permitting non-standard base-pairing at the 3rd anti-codon position. The record is from RNAcentral. RNAcentral also lists the same sequence under 1 other name. Lineage: Bacteria; Bacillati; Chloroflexota.